This is a long non-coding RNA of Sesamum indicum (sesame), 680 nucleotides long. RefSeq lists it as uncharacterized. The record is from RefSeq and is a predicted model, not a curated record. NCBI's taxonomy places the organism in Eukaryota, Viridiplantae, Streptophyta, Magnoliopsida, Lamiales, Pedaliaceae.
ACAUGGCCAUGGGACUUCCCACAUACUCCUUGUCGGAAUCGGACACAAAAAUCUAGCUCAGGUUUUAUCCUCUUCCAAUUCACCAACAUUUAUUACUCUCUAUAUUUUGUUGACUUGCACGCACCAAUCUGACCUCUGAACUAUUCGACGUCCAUGGCACGGCAGCUAGAGAGCGUGUUAUUUGAUCUCCUGUGCAUGGUUGAUAUAUAGUAUGAGAAAAGCUCAAGGAAGAAUUUCAAGAAACAUGGACGUCAAACUCAGAUGUUUGUGGUCAAGCUGCAUCCAAUCUAGUUGCUGGCAACAACUUGGAGGGAGACAGAGACACAGUUGUCGAGCCCUUCCAGAGCGGUUGAAUAUAUGUAAUCUAAGCUCCUCCUGAACCUGUAAGCGUACCUAGUGGACAGGCUGCUAAUGCGCACGCUCAGCCUCAGCAAGCAGCUCCUCUUCCUUCAACUGGACCAAAUGCUAAUCCGCUAUAUCUUUUUCCGCAAAUCCUCGGUUCAUCUAUUUAUUUUUUCUUUGCGUCGUUUCUCCUUUAGCUUACUAACUAGGUUUAAUGUAAAUUAUCCCAUGUGAUAUCAGAAAUGGUUAAAUUAUACCCUGUGAAAAAAAAUAUCAAAUUACCUCCAUGUGUUUGUGAAAAUAGAGUAAUUUACCCCUUCACACGAUUUCAUAUAAUG